Molecule: ribosomal RNA, 917 nt
Filed under: uncultured bacterium
Lineage: Bacteria
Description: bacterial SSU rRNA
Rfam family: Bacterial small subunit ribosomal RNA
Source: RNAcentral
AGAGUUUGAUCAUGGCUCAGGACGAACGCUGGCGGCGUGCUUAAUACAUGCAAGUCGAGCGAGGUUACUGUUUUGGAUCCCUUCGGGGUGAAGAAGCUUUAACCUAGCGGCGGACGGGUGAGUAACGCGUGGGUAACCUACCCCAAAGUCCGGGAUAACAGCGGGAAACCGCUGCUAAUACCGGAUGCCUUUACCUUGGGGCAUCUUGAGGUAAAGAAAGGUAACGCUUUGGGAUGGGCCCGCGUCCCAUUAGCUAGUUGGUGAGGUAACGGCUCACCAAGGCGACGAUGGGUAGCCGGCCUGAGAGGGUGGACGGCCACACUGGGACUGAGACACGGCCCAGACUCCUACGGGAGGCAGCAGUAGGGAAUAUUGCGCAAUGGACGGAAGUCUGACGCAGCGACGCCGCGUGAGCGAUGAAGGUCUUCGGAUCGUAAAGCUCUGUCCUUGGGGAAGAAGGCGAAAGCUUGACGGUACCCAAGAAGAAAGCCCCGGCUAACUACGUGCCAGCAGCCGCGGUAAUACGUAGGGGGCGAGCGUUGUCCGGAAUUACUGGGCGUAAAGGGUGCGUAGGCGGCCCUUUAAGUCGGAUGUGAAAGCCCGCGGCUUAACCGCGGAAUGGCAUUCGAAACUGGAGGGCUUGAGUGUCGGAGAGGGUAGUGGAAUUCCCAGUGUAGCGGUGAAAUGCGUAGAUAUUGGGAGGAACACCAGUGGCGAAGGCGACUACCUGGACGAUAACUGACGCUGAGGCUCGAAAGCAUGGGUAGCGAACAGGAUUAGAUACCCUGGUAGUCCAUGCCGUAAACGAUGAGUGCUAAGUGUUGGGAGGUUUCCGCCUCUCAGUGCUGCAGCUAACGCAUUAAGCACUCCGCCUGGGGGAGUACGACCGCAAGGUUGAAACUCAAAUGAAUUGACGG